Molecule: ribosomal RNA, 687 nt
Filed under: Diacronema viridis
Lineage: Eukaryota; Haptophyta; Pavlovophyceae; Pavlovales; Pavlovaceae
Description: partial large subunit ribosomal RNA
Rfam family: Eukaryotic large subunit ribosomal RNA
Source: RNAcentral
UACCCCGCUGGAUUUAAGCAUAUCAAUAAGCGGAGGAGAAGAAAGUAACAACGAUUCCCCCCAGUAACGGCGAGUGAAGAGGGAAGAGCUCAAGCCCUUAAUCUAAACUUUGGUUUCAAAGUUUCGAAUUGUAGUCUGAAGGUGUGUACUUCAGUCCUUUGCGCGGUCUAAGUCCCCUGGAAAGGGGCGCCAGAGAGGGUGAGAGUCCCGUGUUUGGCCAGCGCACAGGUCCUUGUACUAGCCAGAGAGUCGGGUUGCUCGGGAUUGCAGCCUGAAUGGGAGGUAAAUUUCUCCUAAAGCUAAAUACUGGCGAGAGACCGAUAGCGAACAAGUACCGUGAGGGAAAGAUGCAAAGAACUUUGAAAAGAGAGUUAAAAAGUACCUGAACUUGUUGGGGGGAAAGCGAUUGCUUCCAGUGUGCGCGCGCCAAUUCAGCCUUCGGGUGUACUUUGGCGUGCGCGGUCAGGGUGGGUUUGGCGCGGCGUUGACGUCCCCCGCGAGGCCUUCGGGCAACCGGGUGGUCAGUGCGUCGCUCUGGACCGAGGCUCGCUCUGCGGCGGGGUCGGCGGAUCGUGGCUGCGUCUCACAAGCAACUUGUGCUCGCAGCGCGUGAGUCCCUACCUGCCUUUGAGCGUGACCCUGACGAAAUGGGCGCAACCGACCCGUCUUGAAACACGGAACCAAGGA